Pimephales promelas (fathead minnow) is the source of this 492-nucleotide non-coding RNA. Lineage: Eukaryota; Metazoa; Chordata; Actinopteri; Cypriniformes; Leuciscidae. The record is from RefSeq and is a predicted model, not a curated record.
UCCUUUUUAAUGCAACAUAACAGCAAAAUAAUUACAGUAACUAACACUAAAUGUUAAAAUGUAUUGGCAUAUUUAGAAAGUAACAUUACAUGAUAGUUCACCCAGCCCCAAAAAAAGAAUUUGUCUCAUUUUCCUAUCUUCAACUCAUUCCAAAUCUGUAUGACUUUCUUCAAAAUAGCUUCUUUUGUGUUCUGCAGAAGAAAGCAUGUUGGGACGCAAGCUACACUGGAGCCAAUUGAUGUCAUUACGCGCUCCAGACUGCCAUUAACACACUCAGGACCGUUAGCAGAGGCUGUGGAAUACAGUGACGGUAGCUGAUGUUGACUUGCAUUAUAAGAAUCAUCAAGGACAACAGUUUCAGCUAAAGAUUUUCUUUACAUUUCUACUGAAGAAAAAAGACCCCUUAGGGUGAACAAUUUCACUGUAACGGAGGAACGUGAACAUUUUAUAAAACAUCUUCUUUUUGUGUCUCAUAAUGCAGACUCGGAGCAA